Molecule: ribosomal RNA, 436 nt
Filed under: uncultured bacterium
Lineage: Bacteria
Description: bacterial SSU rRNA
Rfam family: Bacterial small subunit ribosomal RNA
Source: RNAcentral
AACGCGAAGAACCUUACCAAGGCUUAAAUGGGAAAUGACAGGUUUAGAAAUAGACUUUUCUUCGGACAUUUUUCAAGGUGCUGCAUGGUUGUCGUCAGCUCGUGCCGUGAGGUGUUAGGUUAAGUCCUGCAACGAGCGCAACCCCUGUCACUAGUUGCCAUCAUUAAGUUGGGGACUCUAGUGAGACUGCCUACGCAAGUAGAGAGGAAGGUGGGGAUGACGUCAAAUCAUCACGGCCCUUACGCCUUGGGCCACACACGUAAUACAAUGGCCAGUACAGAGGGCAGCUACACAGCGAUGUGAUGCAAAUCUCGAAAGCUGGUCUCAGUUCGGAUUGGAGUCUGCAACUCGACUCUAUGAAGCUGGAAUCGCUAGUAAUCGCGCAUCAGCCAUGGCGCGGUGAAUACGUUCCCGGGCCUUGUACACACCGCGCAUA